RNAcentral lists this ribosomal RNA (430 nucleotides) under Pseudomonadota bacterium. Its description in RNAcentral is "Proteobacteria bacterium partial 16S ribosomal RNA". It matches the Rfam family "Bacterial small subunit ribosomal RNA", at positions 355 to 776 of the family's 1533-position model. The record is from RNAcentral. Lineage: Bacteria; Pseudomonadati; Pseudomonadota.
UGGGGAAUAUUGGACAAUGGGGGGAACCCUGAUCCAGCCAUGCCGCGUGUGUGAAGAAGGCCUUAUGGUUGUAAAGCACUUUAAGCGAGGAGGAGGGUACUGGUAUUAAUACUACCAGCUACUGGACGUUACUCGCAGAAUAAGCACCGGCUAACUCUGUGCCAGCAGCCGCGGUAAUACAGAGGGUGCAAGCGUUAAUCGGAAUUACUGGGCGUAAAGCGCGCGUAGGUGGUUCGUUAAGUUGAAUGUGAAAGCCCCGGGCUCAACCUGGGAACUGCAUCCAAAACUGGCGAGCUAGAGUAGGGCAGAGGGUGGUGGAAUUUCCUGUGUAGCGGUGAGAUGCGUAGAUCUAGUAAGGAACACCAGUGGCGAAGGCGACUACCUGGUCUCAUACUGACACUGAGGUGCGAAAGCGUGGGGAGCAAACAGG